GGAGGGAUCGCACAGUGGCCGAGUGCGCCCGCCUGCUAAGCGGGUGGGGGGCUAAAAGCCCCCUCGCGGGUUCGAAUCCCGCUCCCUCCGCCA
Molecule: transfer RNA, 93 nt
Filed under: Pseudomonadota bacterium
Lineage: Bacteria; Pseudomonadati; Pseudomonadota
Also listed under: 1 other name
Description: tRNA-Ser
Rfam family: tRNA
About the family: Transfer RNA (tRNA) molecules are approximately 80 nucleotides in length. Their secondary structure includes four short double-helical elements and three loops (D, anti-codon, and T loops).
Source: RNAcentral